GAAUAUUGGACAAUGGGGGCAACCCUGAUCCAGCCAUGCCGCGUGUGUGAAGAAGGUCUUCGGAUUGUAAAGCACUUUAAGUUGGGAGGAAGGGCUUUAGGUUAAUACCCUGAAGUUUUGACGUUACCAACAGAAUAAGCACCGGCUAACUCUGUGCCAGCAGCCGCGGUAAUACAGAGGGUGCAAGCGUUAAUCGGAAUUACUGGGCGUAAAGCGCGCGUAGGUGGCUUGAUAAGUCAGAUGUGAAAGCCCCGGGCUUAACCUGGGAACUGCUUUCAUAACUGCUGAGCUAGAGUACGGUAGAGGGUAGUGGAAUUUCCUGUGUAGCGGUAAAAUGCGUAGAUAUAGGAAGGAACACCAGUGGCGAAGGCGACCACCUGGGCUAAUACUGACACUGAGGUGCGAAAGCGUGGGGAGCAAAC
Molecule: ribosomal RNA, 422 nt
Filed under: uncultured bacterium
Lineage: Bacteria
Description: partial 16S ribosomal RNA
Rfam family: Bacterial small subunit ribosomal RNA
Source: RNAcentral